Molecule: long non-coding RNA, 3812 nt
Filed under: Brassica rapa (field mustard)
Lineage: Eukaryota; Viridiplantae; Streptophyta; Magnoliopsida; Brassicales; Brassicaceae
Description: long non-coding RNA (BRAP_LNC000407)
Source: RNAcentral
UAAACGUGAGGACGAGAUCAUCGGUGUCUACGUUCAAAGAGUACUCUUUUACAUCUCUGCUCUUAACCGUGAAGUCGCUUAAGAGCACAUGAGUCUGUGACGAAACCGCGAAUUUGGCAGAGCCCAUUUGGUAGGUUUGGUAGUGAUACGAACCGGACUGAUGAAGAUGGGCCAACAAUUGGGCUUCGUUUACUUUAUUUAUUUAAUUACUAUCUAGGCCUUUUACACAACUAUAUGUACUCGAAAACAUAUCUGAGAAAGGUAUCGAUUACGAUCACAAUAUCAAACUGGGUAAAUCCCCAACUUCUACCUCUAUCUCUUCUCUUCUCCCUUUGCUCUUCGUCAUUUCUCCCUCCCUUUCUGUUCUAUUCAGAUAAGCUCAAUCCUGGGCUUAUCAUUGGUAUCAGAGCUCAAGUUCCUUUGACCGUGAGUUUAAAAAAAAAAAAAUAUAUAUAUGGUUUUCAGUGAGAAGCUCGAGAAGCUACUACAAUCAUUCAAACAGAUGGAUGUGGAUCGGAAACUGCGUGAGGAGCUUCGAAUGGACAGUCAGAGACUGCAUGAGGAGUUCCGUGAGGAGUAUCAGAAGCGGCGGAAGCGACCGUAUGGUGAAUCUCAUCCUUAUGACGCUUUCAUCCCUAAAAGGUUUGAAGAUCUAAGGCUUAAUGGAGGUAGCAAGCUCAGAAGGAUUCCGAUCAAGCUAAACUACCACAGAUCUCGAUUUAAGAAACUGAAAAGUAAGUCACCUAGAAGAACUCUUGAUUCAAAGGGUUUGUUAGAUCGUACGUUUCAGAGGAGGUGUGUGGGAAUGAAGAAACAAUACCAUCAGAAGAAGAGAACAGCUCAGGUGAAGCUUGCGCAAGCUUGUAAGAGCUUGGGGAUGUUCCUAGUCUCUCCAAGUUUUAGAGAUCCAAAAGACUGUAUGAAGAUUUGUGUGGUUAAAAGGCAGAUCAUCGACACAGGAGUGAGGCCAGAGACUCAUCUCUUCUGGUAUGAGUUUACUUCCCAUGAGCCUACGGAUAUAGAUGGUCAUGUAGAUACGAGGAUAGGAGAUCAAAGUAUCUUCGCUGAGGAUGUUACAGCGCUAGAACAUGAUGAUCCUGAUGCUGCGAUGGAGUCUGUGAAGGAUGAAACAGUACUGGAGUCAGAACCAGAGGUAACGAGCAACGAUAAGAUCCGAGUUGAACUCUCUGAGGGUCAACAACAGAAGGAGCAACGAAGAUUUCACAAGGUUCGGUUCAAAGGAAGACGUCACCGGAAAGCUCUUUACACAAGACGUGUUGUGCUCCAGAAAAAGCUCUCAGUAAAUUGGUCUUAUCACAAGACUAGAAAGAAGGAGUUGAUUAAUCUGAACAUUCCCGUUAAGGCACUGAGACAGUUAAGCAAAGAAUCAGAUGGUGCAGAAGAGAUACGAUCCACCAGAUUGUUGCAAAGAUUUCAAUGGGAACCAGGCCCUGCGGUGAUGUUAAAUGAUAACAUUAAACAAGGUCAAGUUCAGUGGCUGAGGCUAACAUCACAACAAAAUGGCGAUAUCAAUUUUAGCUUGGGGAACGCUGAAACUUCAGAGCUGUGUGAAAGAGUGGACGCUUCGGUCAUAGAUAGCAAGGGUCAAUACAAAGAAAGGCACAGAGGAAAUGAGUUGUACAUCGAGGUCAAGCGUGUGGAUGUUCUUGGUCUUAAGAGAUCCCUAGCGAGUCAAAAGACAAAUUCAAGUGAUGGGGUUAAGAUCAUGGGAUCAGCUUUUGUAUCCUUCAGCCUUGAGGACAAGACUGUUCUUCUACCGGGGAGAAAGCUCAGGCUCUGUGGUGAGAAAAUAAUGGAUGGUCGCUUUGAAGGUUUAAGUAAAGAAAAGUCAGGAAGAGCUGCAGGUUUAUGGAGGCAAAUGAGGAAGGUGAUCUUUGAUGCUGCUGUGAUGCCGUUGUAUUUACGUCUGCAGAGAGAUGAAGGAUCUGAACCUAUGAUUGGUUAUGAAUGGGAUCCUGGUGGGGUUAGCAUUGAGAAGAUUCAGGAAUUCGUUUUCAAUAUAAAAUGUUGCUUGCUUGAGAUGGAACAGAGUAUGAAAAAGUGUUCUGCUAACUCAGAGUUGGAGUUGCUUACGAGAAAGGUCCAUCACAUGAAAGCGGAAGGUGCUGAUUCUAACCAUGGCAAGGGUGAUGCUCUAGUAGUAAAGCUUGAAAAGAGGCUUAGAAUGGUUCAGUGGGUGGAGCAAGGCAGGAGAGACAAUGGUGCUAGAAUUGGAACGAUGCGGAAUGAAGGGCACAUCGUACUCUCUACUUCUGAUACGAGAGCUUACUCUGAGUCAUUAUUAGAUUAUGGGAAGCACAACAAGCAGAUGAGGUGGCUCCUUGAUCACACUAUGACAGCAGUGGUACUGGACGAAGAUGCACCUGAAAAUGACACAGAUGGACGCUACUUGUUUAUCAAGUUUAUCAAUUCUGAUCCAAGAGAGAAGGUGGUGUUCUUUGUCUAUGAUUGGUUUCAAUCACCAAGACCACCAGAAAUGAAUCACGACAAGGGUGGGCUAGGUACAAUGGUUUCUGUGUCAAGGAAACGUGGUCUCAGCCAGAACAUUGGUCUUGUCUCUGUGUCUAAUUUUAAUGGCAAUGGAAUGAACAGAAAGAAGGUACAAGGACAUCCGGAAGACAUAGUUGGGGAGGAAGCUGUUUUAAAGGGUCAAAAGUUAGAGAUUGCUAUCAUCAUGAAGCUGACCAGAGGCAAUCACAAGUUGAAGAUACAAGAAGGCAACAGCAGUUCAUACAACUUGAGGACAAGUUGGAUCUUCAGGAAGGGAGUAUUGAUACGAACCGGACUGAUGAAGAUGGGCCAACAAUUGGGCUUCGUUUACUUUAUUUAUUUAAUUACUAUCUAGGCCUUUUACACAACUAUAUGUACUCGAAAACAUAUCUGAGAAAGGUAUCGAUUACGAUCACAAUAUCAAACUGGGUAAAUCCCCAACUUCUACCUCUAUCUCUUCUCUUCUCCCUUUGCUCUUCGUCAUUUCUCCCUCCCUUUCUGUUCUAUUCAGAUAAGCUCAAUCCUGGGCUUAUCAGGUAGUUGAAGGGACUGAAAUGGAGACGGACCCAGUGACGGCCACGAGCGACGGAGAAUUUGUAGCGAGCGACUCCGGUGAAGACUCUGGCCGUCUGGUAGAUGUCGGUGCUGCUGCUGCUUUGACUCGCGAGGAUCUCUUGGUUGUCAGAGGAGAGUAAGUUGGAGGCGAGCUUAUCGGACAUGAAGACUCGAUCCGUGAGGGUGGAAUUGGAGGGUGAGCCGCAGUUGAUUAAGUAGUUGUCCUGAGGCGUGAAUCCGUGGCAGCAGGUGCAGAACAAGCACGAAACCAAUACCAAAGUUACCAACUUUUCAACACCCAUCUUUGAUUCUUGACCCAACAAUACCAAAACCUGUUAAUUCAAUCAGAUAUAAAACUACGGUUUACUUUCUAAGAUCAAAGCAUAAGGUAAGGCAGAACAAAGUACCUUUCUAAGAUCAGAAAUCCACGAGAAGUAACGGUCCCAUGAAAGGAUAGACUUGAGGACCAGAGCUUAAUCAAGAACAGAUCAAGAAACUGAAAACUCAGAUUUUAAGUUUUUGAGUUUUUUUAAAUAAAAUUUCAACGUUCUCCAGCAAGGAACAGACUGGUAAUAGGACGUUUGGUUUCUUUAUGAACAACUCAGGAGUAUUACUUCCGUUAGGAAAAGAAAAGGAGAAAGAAGACGGAAGACUGAACCAAAAAAUUGUCUAUUGAUCGUAUUUUCCCUGGCUGUAUUUUUUUUAUUAAUGGUUAAGAAGAAAGAGAAAAAUAGAAUUUCCAGGAA